ACGUAGGGGGCCAGCGUUGUCCGGACUUACUGGGCGUAAAGCGCGCGCAGGUGGAUGAGUAUGUGCCGUGUGAAAGCGCCGUCCUUACGAUGGCGAGGUCGUGGCAGACAGCUUAUCUAGAGGCUCAGAGAGGUUGAUGGAAUUCCGGGUGGAGCGGUGAAAUGCGUAGAUAUCCGGAGGAACACCAGGGGCGAAAGCGGUCAACUGGCUGAGUUCUGACACUGAGGCGCGACGGCGUGGGGAGCAAACCGGA
This 253-nucleotide ribosomal RNA is filed under the name uncultured prokaryote. Its description in RNAcentral is "partial 16S ribosomal RNA". It matches the Rfam family "Bacterial small subunit ribosomal RNA", at positions 525 to 777 of the family's 1533-position model. The record is from RNAcentral.